AUUGAACGCUGGCGGCAGGCCUAACACAUGCAAGUCGAACGAGUGGCGGACGGGUGAGUAAUGUCUGGGAAACUGCCUGAUGGAUGGGGAUAACUACUGGAACCGGUAGCUAAUACCGCAUACCAUCGGAUGUGCCCAGAUGGGAUGAGCUAGUAGGUGGGGUAAAGGCUCACCUAGGCGACGAUCCCUAGCUGGUCUGAGAGGAUGACCGGCCACACUGGAACUGAGACACGGUCCAGACUCCUACGGGAGGCAGCAGUGGGGAAUAUUGCACAAUGGGCGCAAGCCUGAUGCAGCCAUGCCGCGUGUAUGAAGAAGGCCUUCGGGUUGUAAAGUACUUUCAUCGGGGAGGCGGUACCCACAGAAGAAGCACCGGCUAACUCCGUGCCAGCAGCCGCGGUAAUAC
Molecule: ribosomal RNA, 406 nt
Filed under: uncultured bacterium
Lineage: Bacteria
Description: partial 16S ribosomal RNA
Rfam family: Bacterial small subunit ribosomal RNA
Source: RNAcentral